UUUAAUUAAAAAAAUUAAAUAGGAUUUAUUUGAUUAAUUUCACAUUUAAUCAACUAAUCCAUGGACCUACAUCUUAAUGAUUUAAUUAUAAUUUAACUCUUAAUUUAUAGAUUAUAUGUUCUGAUUAUGUUUGUAAUUUUUAACACAUUAUCUUUAUCCUCUAAUACAUAAAUAAGAAAAUAAUACGCUUCAUCGCACUUCUAUAUUGACAACAAUGUUCAUGUUAAUCGAAUUAAGACUCAGUCGAUUAAAAAUAUUUAUUAUUAUAAAAACUUUAAAGUAUCAAAUUAUGUUUAAUUUUCAAUUUCAGCAUAAUAGAGAGAGACAAAAACUAUAAUUAAACCGUCAUUUGGUUUUUUCAGGUGGAGUUAGUUGAGGGUUCUUCGUAUCUCGGCCAACCCCUUCCCUUCUCGAUGACAACAUUGAUUUGGAUAGAAGUAUUGGUGAUCGGAUUCAUCGAGUUCCAAAGGAACGCCGAGCUUGACCCGGAGAAGAGGUUGUACCCCGGAGGAAAGUACUUUGAUCCUCUCGGCCUAGCCGCCGACCCGGAGAAGAAAGCAACCCUACAAUUGGCUGAGAUCAAGCAUGCUCGCCUUGCCAUGGUUGCUUUCUUGGGGUUUGCUGUCCAAGCUGCUGCAACAGGCAAAGGCCCUCUCAACAAUUGGGCUACUCACUUGAGUGACCCCCUCCAUACUACCAUUAUUGACACUUUCACCUCUUAAAAAAAGCCAUAUUCCUUUGCUUUUAUGUAGAUUUUGCUCAAUGUACUAUUGUGUUAACAUUGUUAAGAAAAACUUGCGUAUGUUAA
Molecule: long non-coding RNA, 808 nt
Filed under: Gossypium barbadense (sea-island cotton)
Lineage: Eukaryota; Viridiplantae; Streptophyta; Magnoliopsida; Malvales; Malvaceae
Description: long non-coding RNA (GBAR_LNC013832)
Source: RNAcentral